UACGUAGGGUGCAAGCGUUGUCCGGAAUUAUUGGGCGUAAAGAGCUCGUAGGCGGCCUGUCGCGUCGACCGUGAAAACCCGCAGCUCAACUGCGGGCUUGCGGUCGAUACGGGCAGGCUGGAGUUCGGUAGGGGAGACUGGAAUUCCUGGUGUAGCGGUGAAAUGCGCAGAUAUCAGGAGGAACACCGGUGGCGAAGGCGGGUCUCUGGGCCGAUACUGACGCUGAGGAGCGAAAGCGUGGGGAGCGAACAGG
RNAcentral lists this ribosomal RNA (253 nucleotides) under uncultured bacterium. RNAcentral describes it as "partial 16S ribosomal RNA". It matches the Rfam family "Bacterial small subunit ribosomal RNA", at positions 524 to 776 of the family's 1533-position model. The record is from RNAcentral.